AUUGAACGCUGGCGGCAGGCCUAACACAUGCAAGUCGAACGGUAACAGGAAGACGCUUGCUUCUUUGCUGACGAGUGGCGGACGGGUGAGUAAUGUCAGGGAAACUGCCUGAUGGAGGGGGAUAACUACUGGAAACGGUAGCUAAUACCGCAUAACGUCGCAAGACCAAAGAGGGGGACCUUCGGGCCUCUUGCCAUCGGAUGUGCCCAGAUGGGAUUAGCUAGUAGGUGGGGUAACGGCUCACCUAGGCGACGAUCCCUAGCUGGUCUGAGAGGAUGACCAGCCACACUGGAACUGAGACACGGUCCAGACUCCUACGGGAGGCAGCAGUGGGGAAUAUUGCACAAUGGGCGCAAGCCUGAUGCAGCCAUGCCGCGUAUAUGAAGAAGGCCUUCGGGUUGUAAAGUACUUUCAGCGGGGAGGAAGGGAGUAAAGUUAAUACCUUUGCUCAUUGACGUUACCCGCAGAAGAAGCACCGGCUAACUCCGUG
This 490-nucleotide ribosomal RNA is filed under the name uncultured bacterium. RNAcentral describes it as "partial 16S ribosomal RNA". It matches the Rfam family "Bacterial small subunit ribosomal RNA", at positions 30 to 507 of the family's 1533-position model. The record is from RNAcentral.